CUUAUCAAGAGUGGUGGAGGGAUAGGCCCUGUGAAACCCAGCAACCUACCAUAGUGUGUGGUGCUAACCUACGGGAAACCGAAAGAUGAGG
This 91-nucleotide non-coding RNA is filed under the name human gut metagenome. RNAcentral's name for it is "SAM riboswitch (S box leader)". It matches the Rfam family "SAM riboswitch aptamer (S box leader)". Rfam says of the family: The SAM riboswitch is found upstream of a number of genes which code for proteins involved in methionine or cysteine biosynthesis in Gram-positive bacteria. The record is from RNAcentral. RNAcentral also lists the same sequence under 1 other name.